GAUGAUGCCAAUUGGAUGCCUUUAAUCGGUCUGCGAGCGUGGGCUUAGGAGCACGGGCGCUACGUGAACGGGUGGCGGCGAGAGGAGACGGGGUUGGGGUUGGGGCGGCGGCGGAGUUAGGGUGGCGGCGGCCGGAGGAGGAGGAGAUCGCGGCGGCGAGGUCGGGGAGUGGAAGAGUCGGACCUAGGCGCGCUGUUCCACACCCCGAUACCCUCUCUUCCGAGGUAUAGCUGUAGCGGCAGGCCUCGAUGUAGUAGCUGCCGGAGUUACCCCCGAAACCGCUCUCGAGGACCAGAAAGCAGCGGCGGCGGCCCAGCCCUGACGGCUAGCCCUGAGGCAGCCUAGGCGACAGCGGCUGGGUGCAGGGUCAGGAGAGGAAGGAGAGUGUCAAGUACUCCGCUGUGGUGUACUCCUCCGAUCUUGUCGUACUCGUUAGAGUAGGCACGGUCAGACACGCAGCGAAGAGUGCGGUUCGGUUUCCAGUAGAACGACGGGACAACCGUCUAAGUACACAUGUUAUAAUCACAAGUAUAGUCAGACUGUCUAAGUACACACAGACAAGUCAUAAGUUUCAAUUCCUUAAGUUCACUAUGUAUAUAACAAACUUUAUAGUAACGAUAAGGUACUAGCCAAGGUAAGUAGGUGGUAAAUUACAAAAGUAAAAAGAUAAAAUGUCAUCAAGGGAGAUACCUUGACAUGAUUGUUCUAAUAUAAGUCAAUUACAGGUCUACGUUCAAGUACUUACGACAAGUAAAAUGAACUCUUCUUGAUUAAGUGUACCACUUCUUGUUGACGACCUAAUAUUAAAAUAUUCGGAAACAUGUCUUAUGUUCGUAUGAGUAGCUAAUUACAAUCUAUACAUCAUAGUUCACUUCAUCAUAUUUAAACGUAGCGGUGUGGUCGGUUGUCCUCGCCGUCGUUAUCGUCCCACAGCGUCUAACUGGACCUCCAACAGGGCUCCCCGCGCUGUGACGGUCACCUCUACAUGUCCACUUCCUCCUCCUGCACCCCUGAUUCCACCAACAUACCAUCUACCGCCUCCACCUGUUCUACUUGUAAACCAAGCUGUCCCACCACCAACAGCAGUUGCCGACCCUCUGCUUCGUUGUUCUAACUCCAAGUGAAACCUUAAACAGAGUAACUUCCCUAGAACUUAAGAUGUGGUACAAUGCUGACUAUAGGGACCUUAAACACUAGUGUUACAAUCACGAUGGUAACAGUACGUCGAGUUGGACCCUGGCUCGUGUCUACGGUGACGCAUAACGAUUUUAAAUGUCCUUUACGUCUUUUUAUCUCCAUGUCGUUAACUCGUUACGUGUCAAGGGUUUUACACACGGUGUAUCAAGAUACAACUUGUAUAUCUUGAUGAAUACAAGGUAUAAGUGGGAUUUUGAAGAGAUUUCUACACGGUAAUUGCUGCCACUGCUCAAACCUUACCCCUCACCUCUAUCGCCACUUCUUCUACUUCUUCUUCCCACUAAAUAUUGUACUUUGUUUUCAACUGUUAUAGUAAAUUACACGUACUCCUAGAAUCUCUAUAUGUACAACGUGUACUAAACAAUACGGGGCGACGCCUAGACCCGCGGGGGAGUGGAACUGUUCUAAAAUGGAUGUGAGUUAACCUAUUAAUUCAUGUCAAACUAAUCAUACUGUUCAGUACAGUCGUCCUACUUAUAAAUGUUCCAAAUAAUAGAGGGUCCUUCUGUUCAUCCUUCAUACAAACGUUCAAAAGUACUGAUUUAAUAUGUUAAUAUAUUUGACACACAAGACGAACUUCAAACAGUCAAUUUUAGUACAACUGAGCGGAUGACAAAUUUCCAAGAUAAAACUAGUAUAUUAAUCCAAAUGUAGAACUGAGCGAACUAAACUAUUUAAGGUAAGAAUGGUUCCCAGUAGUAAACAUAUAAAGGAGAAGCCUCCCACUAGAGCAGCGGGUGCCUCUUCGUUAGGUUCCUCUUCUCUCAUCCAAGACGCGGGUUGGAGUCGAGGUAUAGUUUCCUCCCCUUCACCGACGCUCGUACGGUAGUCGCAACCCAGCUACCACAACACGGAGCCGUCGACCCUAGUACGUUCCGUCUACCCUUCGUCGUCACGGCGGAGAGGGGGGCUCGAGGUCUAUGUACUAUCGUCGUAGCUCCUCCUCUUUUUGACGUAAGUCUCCAAUGCCUUACCGUUACCCACCCAAUGGAGGGUCCUCGUCUACUGACCGUACCAAUCACUAGUGAUCCGGUACUUAGAGUACCUAGGGUACUAUGUCCAUAGACCAGGUCUAGGCUGCCUCUGUUCGUUUUAGCACGACGAAGAAGAAGAAAGCUAACUUUUAGGUCCACUUUUGAAAGUCCUUGAGUCCUGCUGUGCGUAACUAAUAUAAAGUAACACUACCGGCAACGGCUGUGUCGAUGAUACCCAUGUUCGUUGAAGAUAAAGCGAGCAGUGGCCUUUGGUGGCGGGUCUAGGUAGAGAAGAGUUGGUACGGCUGCACCACCAGUCCCCGCGAAUGUUGAACACUCCCGGACGUAAGAGCGACAACUAGGCACUACCGUACCGGAGGGGCGCGGGAUCGGCGCAAGAUUGACUACCAAACCCAGACGGUCGCCUCCCUCUCCCCUGCUGGAGACAGCGAGGAAGAGAGAUCGGAGAAGUAGAACUACUUCGGCAUCCUCAUCUCCCCGUGCGCGCACUACCUAGACGAGGUUCGUGGAGUUCGGUGCGUAGAAGUUCCACUAGUGAAGUAGGUGUAAGUUAGAGUCAAGGGCGCAAAUGAGCUCCUCUCAAGUUUUCGUCGUUCUCGUCAACAAGAUAACGACCAGCCUCCCUCUCGAACCGUUCCCUCUAUCUCCCUCGAGAUGUUGGUGCUAGAACCGUAUGUUGGGCUACCGUAGUACGGGUGGAACACACAAAGUAACUACCUCCUCCAUAUUUAGACAAGGAAUUUCGCUCGUUUAGUUUUGUUUUUGCGUCCUCCAUAGGCUGUUGUGACUGCUGGCGAUGCGGUAAGGUGAAUCUGGACUCCCGUUGUAGUUUCCUACGGUGGCCGUCGUCUCUAGUUGUUCAAGAAGUGGCAGCCCCUCUUCCACCUCCAGCUUACAAAGUGGCAGUUCACGUCUGAAUAGCAAGUCGAUGUCAGUGAACUAGUAGCAGUGUCUGUGGCGGUGUGAUUCUUAACACGUCGACGAGAUGAAAGUCCAUGUUUUAACCUGUAGUACACUCCACAAUACGAGUUGGGGUCGGUCAAGUUUCCGUUGUGACCACCACCAGGAGACUCAUACGUUUACUGUAUUCUCACCCGUGACGUUAUUAUGUACGAUUAUCCACGUCAAAGUAGAGCUCGUCUCCUCGUGACGUUAUCAUGUACGAUGAGAGUCGCUGAUGAUUGGACUUCAACGUGAGUCCGAGAGCGUAUAUGAUUUCUCACAGUAGUUACCUUGUUUAUUUCAGAACUAUUGAUCUUCCGGUAAGGCUAAGGUCAUACCAUUUAUAAGCUACCCACUGUUUCCCAGGGCUCCCUCGAGCAAACACAACUGUUGUGAGUCGUAUAAGACGUUUAUAGGAGACUCAAGUGGUAGGUACUCGACGUUCAGUACAAAAGACCACGAUGUUCAUAUUUUUCCAAGUAUAAACAAAAUAAUUGGAAAACACCACAACAAGGUUAUGGAAAACCUCAAAACCGGAUUUUCCCGAGAGACUUUGUGACUCUGUUUGUUUCGAUUUUAAACCUCAUACUAAUUCGUCAGGUCAGUCGCAAUGAUUAGGGGUGAACUCGAACUGACAUAAAGGACCGAAUUACAAACUCUAAGAUACAUAUCGUUUUUAUACACGUCUUAAAGUAAAUUCAAACUUUCGGUUAGCUAAGGUAUGAAACUCGACCUUUCACCAGGGAUAAGACUUAACCAUAAACCUAGGGUUUGUAUUGAGGGAUACUUGUAUAUUCCUUUAAAAUCAACACUUUGCUGUGAACAACAUGUACGGUAUAACGAUAUACUC
This 3984-nucleotide ribosomal RNA is filed under the name Triticum aestivum (bread wheat). Its description in RNAcentral is "partial small subunit ribosomal RNA". The record is from RNAcentral. Lineage: Eukaryota; Viridiplantae; Streptophyta; Magnoliopsida; Poales; Poaceae.